Molecule: ribosomal RNA, 617 nt
Filed under: Moelleriella libera
Lineage: Eukaryota; Fungi; Ascomycota; Sordariomycetes; Hypocreales; Clavicipitaceae
Description: eukaryotic LSU rRNA
Rfam family: Eukaryotic large subunit ribosomal RNA
Source: RNAcentral
GCAUAUCAAUAAGCGGAGGAAAAGAAACCAACAGGGAUUGCCCCAGUAACGGCGAGUGAAGCGGCAACAGCUCAAAUUUGAAAUCUGGCCCCCCCCCCCGGGGGGCCCGAGUUGUAAUUUGCAGAGGAUGCUUUGGGCGAGGCGCCUUCCGAGUUCCCUGGAACGGGACGCCACAGAGGGUGAGAGCCCCGUCUGGUCGGACGCCGAGCCUCUGUAAAGCUCCUUCGACGAGUCGAGUAGUUUGGGAAUGCUGCUCAAAAUGGGAGGUAUAUGUCUUCUAAAGCUAAAUACCGGCCAGAGACCGAUAGCGCACAAGUAGAGUGAUCGAAAGAUGAAAAGCACCUUGAAAAGGGGGUUAAACAGUACGUGAAAUUGUUGAAAGGGAAGCGCUCGUGACCAGACUUGGGGCGGGCGGAUCAGCCGGCGUUCUCGCCGGCGCACUCCGCCCGUCCCAGGCCAGCAUCAGUUCGCGCCGGGGGACAAAGGCGGCGGGAACGUGGCUCCCCAGGGAGUGUUAUAGCCCGCCGCGCCAUGCUCCGGGGGCGGACUGAGGCCCGCGCAUCACUGCAAGGAUGCUGGCGUAAUGGUCACCAGCGACCCGUCUUGAAACACGGACC